AUCUAGUGGCGCACGGGUGCGUAACGCGUGGGAAUCUGCCCUUGGGUUCGGAAUAACAGCGGGAAACUGCUGCUAAUACCGGAUGAUGACGAAAGUCCAAAGAUUUAUCGCCCAAGGAUGAGCCCGCGUAGGAUUAGGUAGUUGGUGGGGUAAAGGCCUACCAAGCCUACGAUCCUUAGCUGGUCUGAGAGGAUGAUCAGCCACACUGGGACUGAGACACGGCCCAGACUCCUACGGGAGGCAGCAGUAGGGAAUAUUGGACAAUGGGGGCAACCCUGAUCCAGCAAUGCCGCGUGAGUGAUGAAGGCCUUAGGGUUGUAAAGCUCUUUUACCCGGGAUGAUAAUGACAGUACCGGGAGAAUAAGCCCCGGCUAACUCCGUGCCAGCAGCCGCGGUAAUACGGAGGGGGCUAGCGUUGUUCGGAAUUACUGGGCGUAAAGCGCACGUAGGCGGCGAUUUAAGUCAGAUGUGAAAGCCCGGGGCUCAACCCCGGAACUGCCUUUGAGACUGGAUUGCUAGAAUCUUGGAGAGGCGGGUGGAAUUCCGAGUGUAGAGGUGAAAUUCGUAGAUAUUCGGAAGAACACCAGUGGCGAAGGCGGCCCGCUGGACAAGUAUUGACGCUGAGGUG
RNAcentral lists this ribosomal RNA (628 nucleotides) under uncultured Alphaproteobacteria bacterium. RNAcentral's name for it is "bacterial SSU rRNA". It matches the Rfam family "Bacterial small subunit ribosomal RNA", at positions 90 to 753 of the family's 1533-position model. Lineage: Bacteria; Pseudomonadati; Pseudomonadota; Alphaproteobacteria. The record is from RNAcentral.